UACGUAGGGUGCAAGCGUUAAUCGGAAUUACUGGGCGUAAAGCGUGUGUAGGCGGCCUUAUAAGUCGGAUGUGAAAGCCCAGGGCUCAACCCUGGAAGUGCACUCGAUACUGUAAGGCUCGAGUCCUGGAGAGGAAGGCGGAAUUCUCGGUGUAGAGGUGAAAUUAGUAGAUAUCGAGAGGAACAUCGGUGGCGAAGGCGGCCUUCUGGACAGUGACUGACGCUGAGACGCGAAAGCGUGGGGAGCAAACAGG
RNAcentral lists this ribosomal RNA (253 nucleotides) under uncultured bacterium. Its description in RNAcentral is "partial 16S ribosomal RNA". It matches the Rfam family "Bacterial small subunit ribosomal RNA", at positions 524 to 776 of the family's 1533-position model. The record is from RNAcentral.